CGUUGCUUCCUCGGCGGCGUGUUCCGCCUCCACUUUGGCCUUCGUCUCACUGAGCAUCUUCUCCCAUCGCUGAGCGAUCGUGAGCUUCUCGACUUUUACCUCCACUAUAAAGAAUUAUUGGCUAUAAAUUACCCAUUGGAUUGAAACACCUCAAAUCCCUCAGAAAUACCCCGGUAUAGGAAAACUUGAAGCAACGGGCGGGAGAGAGACAAAAACCAAACAAACUUUAAGCAAAAAUAAAAGCCGACACCACGCGGCACAAAGGAUGCGAAGGAUGCAAAGAGGACACUAAAGAUGGCUGAGUGAAAUGAAAUUUUUUGUGACAUGCUUCAAAUGCUUGUCACCCAUCCUUACCUCAGUACAACCGAAAAGGCAGUGUAUUACUGUGUUUGUCGGCCAACAAGGUGUAAACAAGUGAAAGGACAUUGGCCUGUUGCUGUAUUACUGUUGCCAGUAUUAAUGCAUCAAUUAUUACCAACGAGCGGCUCAAUUAAACCUUACGCAGUGGAAUGAUUGGGCUCAGAGCUCAACUUGAUUCCUGGUUUCUAGUUCAUUUGCAUUAUGCAAAUUCUUGGCCAACAACAUGGACUGCAGUUUAUGGUCACAGUUUGAUGUAGCAUAAAUAAACAUUACAUGCCAACCGCACCAUAAAUACGCUUUGCGACCAAGCUGCACUGCCAUUUCUCCUGCGGUUGUCUAUGCUAAAAAUUGCAUAAUCUAGUCACCGCUACGGACUUGAAGCCAUUGCGGCUAACCAAGGAUAAUACCCCAAAUAUGAAAUGACAAUUUAAGAUUUCCUUUUGAUGGCCAAGCUAAGUUCGAGGCUUAUAUCGUGCACGUGACUUGCCUAAAUAUUUUGUAGCACAGUUACCAGGGAAACUGCUAAUUUAAUCAGCGCUGUAAUAUUUCAAUUCAAAAUUUCAUCGAAUAAAAAUGUCUAG
Drosophila santomea is the source of this 941-nucleotide long non-coding RNA. RefSeq lists it as uncharacterized. NCBI's taxonomy places the organism in Eukaryota, Metazoa, Arthropoda, Insecta, Diptera, Drosophilidae. The transcript has 4 exons. The record is from RefSeq and is a predicted model, not a curated record.